CUCUGGCCUCAAAUCAGGUAGGAUUACCCGCUGAACUUAAGCAUAUCAAUAA
RNAcentral lists this ribosomal RNA (52 nucleotides) under Entyloma sp. 638. RNAcentral's name for it is "partial 28S ribosomal RNA". The record is from RNAcentral. Lineage: Eukaryota; Fungi; Basidiomycota; Exobasidiomycetes; Entylomatales; Entylomataceae.